This 406-nucleotide ribosomal RNA is filed under the name uncultured bacterium. Its description in RNAcentral is "partial 16S ribosomal RNA". It matches the Rfam family "Bacterial small subunit ribosomal RNA", at positions 30 to 526 of the family's 1533-position model. The record is from RNAcentral.
AUUGAACGCUGGCGGCAGGCCUAACACAUGCAAGUCGAACGAGUGGCGGACGGGUGAGUAAUGUCUGGGAAACUGCCUGAUGGAGGGGGAUAACUACUGGAAACGGUAGCUAAUACCGCAUACCAUCAGAUGUGCCCAGAUGGGAUUAGCUAGUUGGUGGGGUAACGGCUCACCAAGGCGACGAUCCCUAGCUGGUCUGCGAGGAGGACCAGCCCCACUGGAACUGAGACACGGUUCAGCCUCCUACGGGAGGCAGCGGGGGGGAAUAUUGCACAAUGGGGGCAAGCGUGAUGCAGCGCUGCCGCGUGUAUGAAGAGGGCCUUCGGGUUGUAAAGUACUUUCAGCGGGGAGGCGUUACCCGCAGAAGAAGCACCGGCUAACUCCGUGCCAGCAGCCGCGGUAAUAC